CACUUUAAGUUGGGAGGAAGGGCAUUAACCUAAUACGUUAGUGUUUUGACGUUACCGACAGAAUAAGCACCGGCUAACUCUGUGCCAGCAGCCGCGGUAAUACAGAGGGUGCAAGCGUUAAUCGGAAUUACUGGGCGUAAAGCGCGCGUAGGUGGUUCGUUAAGUUGGAUGUGAAAGCCCCGGGCUCAACCUGGGAACUGCAUUCAAAACUGUCGAGCUAGAGUAUGCUAGAGGGUGGUGGAAUUUCCUGUGUAGCGGUGAAAUGCGUAGAUAUAGGAAGGUACACCAGUGGCGAAGGCGACCACCUGGACUGAUACUGACACUGAGGUGCGUAAGCGUGGGGAGCAAACAGGAUUAGAUACCCUGGUAGUCCACGCCGUAAACGAUGUCAACUAGCCGUUGGGAGCCUUGAGCUCUUAGUGACGCAGCUAACGCAUUAAGUUGACCGCCUGGGGAGUACGGCCGCAAGGUUAAAACUCAAAUGAAUUGACGGGGGCCCGCACAAGCGGUGGAGCAUGUGGUUUAAUUCGUAGCAACGCGAAGAACCUUACCAGGCCUUGACAUCCAAUGAACUUUCCAGAGAUGGAUUGGUGCCUUCGGGAACAUUGAGACAGGUGCUGCAUGGCUGUCGUCAGCUCGUGUCGUGAGAUGUUGGGUUAAGUCCCGUAACGAGCGCAACCCUUGUCCUUAGUUACCAGCACGUUAUGGUGGGCACU
This 716-nucleotide ribosomal RNA is filed under the name Pseudomonas fluorescens. Its description in RNAcentral is "bacterial SSU rRNA". It matches the Rfam family "Bacterial small subunit ribosomal RNA", at positions 431 to 1139 of the family's 1533-position model. Lineage: Bacteria; Pseudomonadati; Pseudomonadota; Gammaproteobacteria; Pseudomonadales; Pseudomonadaceae. The record is from RNAcentral.